RNAcentral lists this long non-coding RNA (743 nucleotides) under Mytilus galloprovincialis (Mediterranean mussel). The record is from RNAcentral. Lineage: Eukaryota; Metazoa; Mollusca; Bivalvia; Mytilida; Mytilidae.
UGGCAGACAUCUUGGUUGGUUGGACGGGUCACGCCACACAAUUUUUAAACUAAAUACCCCAAUAAUGAUUGUGGCCAAGUUUGGUUAAAUUUGGCCAAGGAGUUUCAGAGGAGAAGAUUUUUGUAAAAGAUUACAAAAAUUUACGAAAAAUUGGUCAAAAUGGACUAUAAAGGGCAAUACCUCCUUAAGGGGUCAACUGAUAAUUUUGGUCAUGUUGACUUAUUUGUAGAUCUUACUUUGCUGAACAUUAUUGCUGUUUACAGUUUAUCUCUUUCUAUAAUAAUAUUCAAGAUAAUAACCAAAAUCUGCAAAAUUUCCUUCAAAUUACUUUUUCGGGGCAGCAACCCAAUAACCGGUUGUCCUAUUCAUUUGAAAGUUUCAGGGCUGAUAGAUUUUCACUUGAUGAACAAUUUUACCCCAUGUCAGAUUUGCUCUAAAUGCUUUGGUUUCAGAGUUAUAAGCCAAAAUCUACAUUUCACCCCUAUCUUCUAUUUUUAGCCAUGGCGGCCAUCUUGGUUGGUUGGCCGGGUCACACCACACAUUUUUAAAACUAGAUACCCCAAAGAUGAUUGUGGCCAAGUUUGGAUUAAUUUGGCCAUGUAGUAUCAGAGGAGAAGAUUUUUGUAAUAGAUUACUAAGAAUUACGAAAAAUGGUUAAAAAUUGACUAUAAAGGGCAAUAACUCCUAAAGGGGUCAACUGACCAUUUCGGUCAUGUUGACUUAUUUGUAAAUCUUACUUUGCU